Molecule: ribosomal RNA, 197 nt
Filed under: uncultured bacterium
Lineage: Bacteria
Description: partial 16S ribosomal RNA
Rfam family: Bacterial small subunit ribosomal RNA
Source: RNAcentral
GCUGCAACUCGCCUGUAUGAAGUCGGAAUUGCUAGUAAUCGCGGAUCAGCAUGCCGCGGUGAAUACGUUCCCGGGCCUUGUACACACCGCCCGUCACACCAUGAGAGCCGGGAACACCCGAAGUCCGUAGUCUAACCGCAAGGAGGACGCGGCCGAAGGUGGGUUUGGUAAUUGGGGUGAAGUCGUAACAAGGUAGC